GACGAACGCUGGCGGCGUGCCUAAUACAUGCAAGUCGAACGCUGAAGAGAGGAGCUUGCUCUUCUUGGAUGAGUUGCGAACGGGUGAGUAACGCGUAGGUAACCUGCCUUGUAGCGGGGGAUAACUAUUGGAAACGAUAGCUAAUACCGCAUAACAAUGGAUGACACAUGUCAUUUAUUUGAAAGGGGCAAUUGCUCCACUACAAGAUGGACCUGCGUUGUAUUAGCUAGUAGGUGAGGUAAUGGCUCACCUAGGCGACGAUACAUAGCCGACCUGGGAGGGUGAUCGGCCACACUGGGACUGGGACACGGCCCAGACUCCUACGGGAGGCAGCAGUAGGGAAUCUUCGGCAAUGGGGGCAACCCUGACCGAGCAACGCCGCGUGAGUGAAGAAGGUUUUCGGAUCGUAAAGCUCUGUUGUAAGUCAAGAACGGGUGUGAGAGUGGAAAGUUCACACUGUGACGGUAGCUUACCAGAAAGGGACGGCUAACUACGUG
Molecule: ribosomal RNA, 497 nt
Filed under: uncultured bacterium
Lineage: Bacteria
Description: partial 16S ribosomal RNA
Rfam family: Bacterial small subunit ribosomal RNA
Source: RNAcentral